Non-coding RNA from Phoenix dactylifera (date palm), 1013 nucleotides. The record is from RefSeq and is a predicted model, not a curated record. Lineage: Eukaryota; Viridiplantae; Streptophyta; Magnoliopsida; Arecales; Arecaceae.
GUUCGUGCCCGUCCGCAUCUUGUGGAAAGCACUUCUGGUGGUCGUGAUCUGCAAAUGGUAUAAUUCCUUUACACCCACACAAUUGACUUUUGAAUCACAACUUGGUGUAAUCUACAUUUUAUUGGUAUGUGGCUGUUGCUAAUCUUUAACUACUGAAUUUGGUUUGUUUUUUGGAGUAGGUAUCUAAAAUCUCAAUAAUUAUUUAAAUUAGUUUCUACUUUUGCAAGGUUAUAUACAUUUAAUUCUGUUGUUACCUUUGCAUUGACAGUCAAAAAUAUCGAGCUUGCGAGAAGAAUCUUCCCAAUCUGGUGUGCAAUUAACAUUAGAGGAGAUGUCUAAGCAGGCACUUGGAAAAAGGAAGAGAUACAUUCUUGGAUUUGGGGUUGGGCCGAAGCCCUCUUCAUCUUCUUCCACACCUAGUCGUGUGUCACAAGAUCAUGUUGGGGAGUUGCAGAAACUUAAAGCUGAGAUGGAAGAGAUGAAGAUGGAGCGUGAGGAGCUGCGGAGGCAAUUGGAGUAGGAGAAGAAAGAGCAUGAGGAGGAAAGAAAAGAGCGAGAGGAAGAACAUAAGCAAAUUGCACAUCUUACAAGUUUGGUGACAGAGAUCUUAAAGGAAAAGAUCCAAACGCACAAGUCAUCUAUCCAUCAUGAUGGGGCCAUGUAUUCAACUGGUGGUACAAAUACUCGUUGAUACAUGAUGGAGUUUUGAGCAUGUGAAAUCUAGUUUUUGGUACAUGGAUAGCUUUUGUUCAGAUGAUCAUGGUGGAGUUGUCUACAAGCAGAAUCCAGUUUUUGGUAUAAGAAUAUUUUUGUCUACAUGAUGGUUGUUUGGAUGAAUAGCAAGAUCAGAUAUUUUGGAAUUUUUAAUUUACAUUUUGAUGUGUUUGGUGAUGAUUAUCACCUUAACAUAUGGUAUGGAUGAAACAUUGUGAUGUAUGGUUAAUAGGUAUGCUUGACUUUAGACUUAUAGAUAAUGAUAUUUAUAAUGAAUGAUUAUGGAUUCUCGAACAUUG